AAAGUUGAAGGUGAUCAAUUCUGUAAGAUUCUUCUUUUUCCCCUUUACUUUCUUGUUUUCCUUCUUCACUACCUCCCAAUUAUUACAUUGACUCUCAGAAUUUUAGCCCCUUAUAUAUUAACUCAACUGUGAUUUGGUUGAACAUGGGAAUUGAAGUUCGAUAUGCAAGUUUUUUGGAGACUAAAAGACUGCUAUGGAUAGUGGCAUCAAUUUUUGUUAUGGUUUUGAUCAUUCAGUAUUUUCUAUUUCCCUCCAAAGGUCAAGUAGCCGCCAUUCAAUCUGCUUAUUCUACUGUAUCCGCAAACCUCACCUUUUCCAAGACUACUGCCAAAACUGAGCUGUCAAAGACAAAUGAUGCUACCAUUAUUGAACAUACUGAAAUUGAAGACAAAUUUCCACAGAAGGUUGCUCAUGCUUCUGAAUUCGUUAUGCAAACACCUAAUGUUACAUCUGAAAAUAAUUUUGUACUAGAUCGUAUAACCACAACUGCUGCACCUCAGGCAAUCUCUCCUUUAACAUCUUCCAGACAAAACCAAUCUUGCCUCAGAAAUAUUCCCUCUGUAAUUGAAAGGUCUGACAGAGCACGAAAAAAUGUGGCAUCAAUAUCUCAAAUGAAUUAUAUGCUGCAACAAAGUCAAACUUCAUUUUGUUCAAUGAAACCACGAUGGUCCUCGGUAGUAGAUCAAGAACUAUUACGUGCAAAAGAUCUGAUCGAGAAUACGCCUCUCUUACAGAGCGAGCCUCGAUUAUAUGCCCCUCUAUUUAGAAAUCUGUCCAUGUUUAAAAGGAGUUAUGAAUUGAUGGAGAAGACUCUCAAGGUUUACAUUUAUGCUGAAGGGGAAACACCCAUAUGCCAUUCCGGACCUCUCGAUGGAAUAUAUGCUUCAGAGGGCUGGUUCAUAAAGCUGCUUCAAGAAAACAAAAGAUUUGUCACUAAGAACCCUAAAAAGGCUCACCUAUUUUAUUUGCCGAUAAGUUUCCGAUCACUGAAGUUGACAUUGUACGUGCCUGAUUCUCACAACCGUACAAAUAUAAUUCAAUUUUUAAGUAACUAUGUUGAUAUGAUUGCGCAAAAGUAUCGUUUCUGGAAUAGAACAGAUGGAGCUGACCAUUUUAUUGUUGCCUGUCAUGACUGGGCCCCUGCGGUGACGGAUGAAAUUAUGAGUAAUUGCAUAAGAUCUUUAUGCAAUGCUGACCUGAGAGGUGGCUUCCAGCUUGGUAAAGAUGUGUCUCUACCACAACCGAACAUUCGCUUGAGCACGAACCCUCUUGCUGAACUUGGAGGGAAACCAGCAUCCAAACGGCGUACCCUUGCUUUCUUUGCUGGACAUAUGCAUGGUUAUCUCCGCCCUGUACUACUGAAGCACUGGGAAAACAGAGAUCCUGACAUGAAGAUUUAUGGUGGAAUAACCAAGGCAAGCUAUUUACGGUACAUGAAGAGUAGCAAAUACUGCAUAUGUGCAAGAGGUUCUCAAGUCAACUCUCCUAGAGUGGUAGAAGCUAUUUACUAUGGAUGUAUCCCGGUGAUCUUAUCAGAUAACUAUGUGCCCCCGCUCUUUGAGACUCUAAACUGGGAAUCUUUUGCUGUAUUUGUCCAGGAGAAGGACAUCCCAAAUUUGAAAAACAUACUUCUGUCUAUUCCGGAUAAGAAAUAUAAGCAGAUGCACGGGAGAGUUAAGCAGGUGCAACAGUAUUUUCUCUGGAAUAUUAAGCCUUCUAAAUAUGAUGUGUUUCACAUGAUACUCCAUUCAGUUUGGCACAACCGAGUUUUUGGAGUAAGACCUAGGUGAUAAAUUUACAUAUACACUAGAGCUUGUAGACUUGAAGAUGAAACAAUAUAUUUUUCAUUUUUGCUUCACUUUUAGCUUGUGUGGUGUAUAAACAGCAGGUUGAUGUUCUUACAAGAUGUCUGAAGAGUUCGGUGGCUUUUAAUACGUCAGUUUUUCUCCAUGUGACUAUUGCAGCCUGGUUGAAUUGAUCUGUUUAUGUUAGUAAGCGACGGGAUGAACCUCAUGAGCUAGUGAGACUUUGAUAACAUCCUUGUCCCAUAUACCUAUAUCGAAGAGAGAGAAUAACGAGUAAGGAAACAAAAGUGUGGCAUUCAAUGUUACUGUUUGGUGUUGUGAAAAUGAAAAGGUCAGUUACAACUGAUAAUCAGAAGUACCUUUCAAGUGAACACUGCAAGUUGGGAACAUGUGGCGCACAUGACUGGGGAUGCAGAUGAGGGUGGGUCGAGAAGGACUGACAGGGUUCUAAGUUGGAAAACUUCUUAACAAUGGGUGCAUUUGAUACUUGAGCAAAUGCCACAUCAGGAAGGAGAGCAAAGUGAAGCGCUAUGUAGUAUAGAUCACAAAUUCACAUUAUAUGCGUGUUUUUGGGCUGAGCCUGAAUAGGAAGAAUAAGAAUAGGACAUCAUAGACUGCACCUCUCAUUUCCUGCUAGUUUAAGUUACACUUAGUUGUGUGAGGAAUGCAGAAAGUCCCCAAAACAAUGAAAAUUUUGUUUGAUUGUUUUGCACAAUUACGAGAAGAAGAGGCCUAACGUGAUAUGAAGAACAGCCUGUCAAGAUAGCCAGGAUAACUGCCUAGCAUAGCAACCCCACAAGGAAAAUUAAGAAAUAAUAACCUUGUGGGAGGAGGGGUAUGUAGGCAAGUCAUCCUUGGCUAACAAACAAAGACUCUUCACUUCAGGAAAGGCGCAGACAAGGCAAUAGCGAAAGAAAACUCAAAGUCCAAGAGAAGACAAAGACCCAAAUUGGACUUUUAUUAAUCCAUAUAGAAAAGGAAAAAGACCCGAACCCAACAAUCUUGGCAACUGAUAUGAACCAGUAAGCUGUAGAAUGACAGAUAUUCAAGUCCAUCAAUCCAUGACACUGGCCUCCUGAUAUUUGCAAAGAUGCAAAUGAACUAGGUAGUUCUGUUUCAUGGUUUAAUAGUUGCACAUGAACCAAAAUUUAAUGUUAUAUAGAUUAAUUUCAUAUGA
Non-coding RNA from Solanum lycopersicum (tomato), 2982 nucleotides. Lineage: Eukaryota; Viridiplantae; Streptophyta; Magnoliopsida; Solanales; Solanaceae. The record is from RefSeq and is a predicted model, not a curated record.